This 77-nucleotide transfer RNA is filed under the name Kiritimatiellia bacterium. Its description in RNAcentral is "Kiritimatiellae bacterium tRNA-Met". It matches the Rfam family "tRNA". Rfam says of the family: Transfer RNA (tRNA) molecules are approximately 80 nucleotides in length. Their secondary structure includes four short double-helical elements and three loops (D, anti-codon, and T loops). Further hydrogen bonds mediate the characteristic L-shaped molecular structure. tRNAs have two regions of fundamental functional importance: the anti-codon, which is responsible for specific mRNA codon recognition, and the 3' end, to which the tRNAs corresponding amino acid is attached (by aminoacyl-tRNA synthetases). tRNAs cope with the degeneracy of the genetic code in two manners: having more than one tRNA (with a specific anti-codon) for a particular amino acid; and 'wobble' base-pairing, i.e. permitting non-standard base-pairing at the 3rd anti-codon position. The record is from RNAcentral. Lineage: Bacteria; Pseudomonadati; Kiritimatiellota; Kiritimatiellia.
GGCGGUGUAGCUCAGUUGGUUAGAGCAGCGGAAUCAUAAUCCGCUUGUCCGGGGUUCGAGUCCCUGCGCCGCCACCA